Molecule: ribosomal RNA, 483 nt
Filed under: uncultured bacterium
Lineage: Bacteria
Description: partial 16S ribosomal RNA
Rfam family: Bacterial small subunit ribosomal RNA
Source: RNAcentral
GAUUGAACGCUGGCGGCAUGCCUUACCCAUGCAAGUCGAACGGUAACCGGUCUUCGGAUGCUGACGAGUGGCGAACGGGUGAGUAAUACAUCGGAACGUGCCCGAUCGUGGGGGAUAACGAGGCGAAAGCUUUGCUAAUACCGCAUACGAUCUACGGAUGAAAGCGGGGGAUCUUCGGACCUCGCGCGGACGGAGCGGCCGAUGGCAGAUUAGGUAGUUGGUGGGAUAAAAGCUUACCAAGCCGACGAUCUGUAGCUGGUCUGAGAGGAUGAUCAGCCACACUGGGACUGAGACACGGCCCAGACUCCUACGGGAGGCAGCAGUGGGGAAUUUUGGACAAUGGGCGAAAGCCUGAUCCAGCCAUGCCGCGUGCAGGAUGAAGGCCUUUGGGUUGUAAACUGCUUUUGUACGGAACGAAAAGCCUCUUUCUAAUAAAGAGGGGUCAUGACGGUACCGUAAGAAUAAGCACCGGCUAACUACGUG